UACGUAGGGUGCAAGCGUUGUCCGGAAUUAUUGGGCGUAAAGAGCUCGUAGGCGGUCUGUCGCGUCGGCUGUGAAAACUCGGGGUUCAACUCCGAGCUGGCAGUCGAUACGGGCAGGCUAGAGUUCGGCAGGGGAGACUGGAAUUCCUGGUGUAGCGGUGAAAUGCGCAGAUAUCAGGAGGAACACCGGUGGCGAAGGCGGGUAUCUGGGCCGAUACUGACGCUGAGGAGCGAAAGCGUGGGGAGCGAACAGG
RNAcentral lists this ribosomal RNA (253 nucleotides) under uncultured bacterium. RNAcentral's name for it is "partial 16S ribosomal RNA". It matches the Rfam family "Bacterial small subunit ribosomal RNA", at positions 524 to 776 of the family's 1533-position model. The record is from RNAcentral.